Long non-coding RNA from Oncorhynchus keta (chum salmon), 1843 nucleotides. RefSeq lists it as uncharacterized. The record is from RefSeq and is a predicted model, not a curated record. The transcript is spliced from 6 exons. NCBI's taxonomy places the organism in Eukaryota, Metazoa, Chordata, Actinopteri, Salmoniformes, Salmonidae.
UAACUACGUUUUGGGUUUCUCUGUCCGGGUUUGUGUAACUAGGUUUUGGGUUUUCUCUGUCCGGGUUUGUGUAACUAGGUUUUGGGUUUUCUCUGUCCGGGUUUGUGUAACUAGGUUUUGGGUGUUCGCUGUCCGGGUUUGUGUAACUAGGUUUUGGGUGUUCGCUGUCCGGGUUUGUGUAACUAGGUUUUGGGUUUUCUCUGUCCGGGUUUGUGUAACUAGGUUUUGGGUUUUCUCUGUCCGGGUUUGUGUAACUAAGUUUUGGGUUUUCUCUGUCCGGGUUUGUGUAACUAAGUUUUGGGUUUUCUCUGUCCGGGUUUGUGUAACUAGGUUUUGGGUUUUCUCUGUCCGGGUUUGUGUAACUAAGUUUUGGGUUUUCUCUGUCCGGGUUUGUGUAACUAGGUUUUGGGUUUUCUCUGUCCGGGUUUGUGUAACUAAGUUUUGGGUUUUCUCUGUCCGGGUUUGUGUAACUAGGUUUUGGGUUUUCUCUGUCCGGGUUUGUGUAACUAAGUUUUGGGUUUUCUCUGUCCGGGUUUGUGUAACUAGGUUUUGGGUUUUCUCUGUCCGGGUUUGUGUAACUAGGUUUUGGGUGUUCGCUGUCCGGGUUUGUGUAACUAGGUUUUGGGUUUGUGUAACUAGGUUUUAGGCGUUCUCUGUCCGGGUUUGUGUAACUAGGUUUUGGGUUUGUUUUUGCACCUGUGUUUUAGGGCUUCACCCAUGUUUGGACCUGUUACUUUGUUAAGGACAUUUAAGUGUUUUUUCCCGUUUACUUUGCUCUCUGCGUUUGACUCCUCACCCAUCACUCACCCACCAUUACAUUGGGAAGAUUUUUUGAGAAAGAAAUGACUAUUUCGGCAUACUAACUGGCUACACAACACUAACAGGCACAUUUCCAUAUCAUUACCUUGCAAGAAAUAUUUCUCCUUGAUGCAUUAUUAUGAUUAUGAGAAACUAAUGGAAUUUAACUAACUUCAAUACAUUUAAUACAUGUUCAAUACAAGUUUUAAAUUGUUUAAUUCUAUUUUGAUGUCUGGAUUCUGUGAUUUCGUCCCCGUUUUCUGCAUUAUACAUUUCAUAGGGCCCUACUAAGGGUGGCAGGUAGCCUAGCCGUUAGAGUGUUGGGCCAGUAACUGAAAAGUUACUGGUUUGAAAACCAGACAACGUGAAAUGUCUGUUGAUGUGCCCUUGAGCAAGGCACUUAACCCUAAUUUACUACAGUAGCACUGUACUACUAUGGCUAAGCCUGUAAAACAACACAUUUCACUGCACCUAUCUGGUGUACGUGAUAAUAAAACAAUGAUGAAUUGGAAUAGUGGGUUUCAACGUAAAGGCAUCACCUAUGAGCUUAAAAUAUAUACCCUUUUUCUGAUUCUGGAGUGGGUGGGUGGUAGUGCAAUGGGGGGGCUGGUCAAAAAAUGCCCCUUAUAUUUAAAUUUUUUAAAUCCUUUUGGUUGAAGGGUAAUGAUGUCAGGAGCUGUGUGGGAAUUUUCUUCAGCCUCUCCUAAAUAUAGCAAAUGAGAAAAUUACAGUUUCGCACCAUUAUAAAAUGUACGCUAGUGAAAACACACAUGAACGGAGGGAUUUUCUUUGCAUUGGUCCUUUUGGGUGAAUGACAGGAAAUGAUGUCAGGAGGUGUAUGAAAAUUGUCUACAAUUCUAUUCACUAAUCUUCAACUUUGACCACGGGUCCUACCAGACAUUCCUAUAAUAAUCAGUCCACAAAGCUUAUGAUACGAAAAUAAUAUUUUAACAGCAUUUCAGUAAUUGGAGAAAUGACAUACAUUUUUUUUCAUUUGACUACAGGGGAAGGUACGACAUGUGAUAACGUAAUCAUUUUUAGCUAU